CUAAUAUUUUAAUAUUAAAAAGAUUUCAAAUAUUUUAUUCGAGUGUAAAA
This 50-nucleotide small RNA is filed under the name Plasmodium falciparum 3D7. Its description in RNAcentral is "Pfa-npcR5985A". The record is from RNAcentral. Lineage: Eukaryota; Apicomplexa; Aconoidasida; Haemosporida; Plasmodiidae.